RNAcentral lists this ribosomal RNA (478 nucleotides) under uncultured bacterium. RNAcentral's name for it is "partial 16S ribosomal RNA". It matches the Rfam family "Bacterial small subunit ribosomal RNA", at positions 28 to 507 of the family's 1533-position model. The record is from RNAcentral.
GACGAACGCUGGCGGCGUGCUUAACACAUGCAAGUCGAACGUGAUUUUUGUGGAAAUUCUUUCGGGAAUGGACAUGAAAUGAAAGUGGCGAACGGGUGAGUAACACGUGAGCAACCUACCUUACACAGGGGGAUAGCCGUUGGAAACGACGAUUAAUACCGCAUGAGACCACAGAAUCGCAUGAUAUAGGGGUCAAAGAUUUAUCGGUGUAAGAAGGGCUCGCGUCUGAUUAGCUAGUUGGAAGGGUAAAGGCCUACCAAGGCGACGAUCAGUAGCCGGUCUGAGAGGAUGAACGGCCACAGUGGAACUGAGACACGGUCCAAACUCCUACGGGAGGCAGCAGUGGGGAAUAUUGCACAAUGGGGGGAACCCUGAUGCAGCGACGCCGCGUGAGCGAAGAAGGUUUUCGAAUCGUAAAGCUCUGUCCUAUGAGAAGAUAAUGACGGUAUCAUAGGAGGAAGCCCCGGCUAAAUACGUG